Molecule: long non-coding RNA, 206 nt
Organism: Amphimedon queenslandica
Lineage: Eukaryota; Metazoa; Porifera; Demospongiae; Haplosclerida; Niphatidae
Exons: 3
Source: RefSeq, a predicted model, not a curated record
GCCGCACAGAAUAGAAAGAAAAGAGAAAAGCUAAAGGAAAAUGUCUUUUCUAUGGGACUGGUUUACUGGAGCUCUGGGCUAUCUCGGUCUGUGGAAAGUCCAAGCAAAGCUUGUCUUCUUGGGUCUGGAUAAUGCCGGGAAGACAACCCUCCUUCACAUGCUUAAGGAUGACAGAAUGGGACAACCUGUACCAACCUAUUACCCCA